GAUGAACGCUGGCGGCGUGCCUAAUACAUGCAAGUCGAGCGAACAGACGAGGAGCUUGCUCCUCUGACGUUAGCGGCGGACGGGUGAGUAACACGUGGAUAACCUACCUAUAAGACUGGGAUAACUUUGGGAAACCGGAGCUAAUACCGGAUAAUAUAUUGAACCGCAUGGUUCAAUAGUGAAAGACGGUUUUGCUGUCACUUAUAGAUGGAUCCGCGCCGCAUUAGGUAGUUGGUAAGGUAACGGCUUACCAAGGCAACGAUGCGUAGCCGACCUGAGAGGGUGAUCGGCCACACUGGAACUGAGACACGGUCCAGACUCCUACGGGAGGCAGCAGUAGGGAAUCUUCCGCAAUGGGCGAAAGCCUGACGGAGCAACGCCGCGUGAGUGAUGAAGGUCUUCGGAUCGUAAAACUCUGUUAUUAGGGAAGAACAAAUGUGUAAGUAACUAUGCACGUCUUGACGGUACCUAAUCAGAAAGCCACGGCUAACUACGUG
RNAcentral lists this ribosomal RNA (497 nucleotides) under uncultured bacterium. RNAcentral describes it as "partial 16S ribosomal RNA". It matches the Rfam family "Bacterial small subunit ribosomal RNA", at positions 28 to 507 of the family's 1533-position model. The record is from RNAcentral.